GCAAAAGGACGUGUAGGAAGGAGUGUCAAGGACCACCUCGUCCCAUCCUUGCACUGUGGGAGGACCAAGUGCCAAAGAAGGACGACUGGGGGCCUGGGAAGUCGAGGGAAGCGUCAGAGCAGAGCAGAGCCCACACAGUGCCGGAGGCUGUAGGAGGGUCACAGGAACUUCAGAAAGGCUUGUUCCCAAGGUACAGCUUCUCUCUGUCAUGGGGCCUAACCUGCAGUCUCACAGAGUGUCAGGAAAAACGUUGUAGCCCCAGAAAGCUUCCAGAGGAACCAGUUGGACAGUCAGAUUGACUGUUCAGCAACAUCACUGUUUCAACAGGGAACGUAAGAAAAGAUGAUGGGGUUGUGAGUAAAGAGGGCAGUUCAGAACACGGUUCGUUUCUCCACUGCGUGGAUACUCAUCUGUGGGCUGCAGGACUGCCACGAGGAGCAGUUUGCUGGGGAAGCACGCCCUCCACCAGCAGAGACCGUAGUGAAA
This 486-nucleotide long non-coding RNA is filed under the name Gallus gallus (chicken). Lineage: Eukaryota; Metazoa; Chordata; Aves; Galliformes; Phasianidae. The record is from RNAcentral.